ACUACUUAAAAAGGAGGAACAUGUUCCCUAUUCUGCCACUACAACAAUCCUUUCGUCGUUCCUUCGUCCAGCUUUUUUCACUCCCGCACGCGUUUAGAUGGGCCAAGUGCCCAGGCCCAACUUCUCCCCUCUUGCCUGUGAUAUCGCGUCGCACGCCCGCGCCUGCCGCCACCCUGCGCCGCCGUCCUUCCCACGACGCCCUGGCCAGCAGGGGCCUCCCUUCUUUAUCCGUGAUGUUGCACCUUUCCUCCCAUCUGGGCUCUUCUGAGAUCCAGCCGAUGGAAUCGACGAGAUCCCCUUCAUAGACCUUCUCUCGCCUGAAGCAGAAGAACCACUGGGUGCGACGAUGGCCGCCACUUCCUCCUUGCGCCACGGUUCGGGCCGCGCUUGGCCAAGACGGCACCGGAUUGUUGGCCGUCAUCAGCGUACCACACGUCGUCGCUGGCGACCAAAGAGUGACGGAUCUAGCGGGUGGGGCUCAGAUCAUGAGCUCUUCGACCAGAUCUGCUGUGUUGGUAGAUUCAACGAGGAUGAGGUGAGGUAUUUCUUCUAUCAGAUUACUUGUGGUGUUAGCUACUGCCACUUCAUGCAAAUUUGACACCGGGACAUGGAAUUGGGGAACACGUUACUGGAUGGUAAUCCAGCUCCAUGUCUCAAGAUCUGUGAUUUUGUCUACUCCAAGUCUGAACUGAUAUUGGGGACUUCAAAGCUUGCAAUUAUGCCCUAUAUAUGUACCUGGACAAGACCUCCAAUUCGUGACCUCCAACCAAUUCAGUGAGCUAUGUCAGAAAUGAAUAUGAGUGAGGAGUGUUAGAUGGACUGAAGAAUUAUCUAUUGGCUGAUUUAGCAUUCGUUUAAUGUACAACAUGGGCACUCGAGUUGUGUUUUCCUGUAAAUAUGGACAAAGAGUAAUGUUGAUGGAAUUUAGAUGUCCUACAACUGUCUGCAUUUGGUCUGUGAUAGGGGAGUUGCUAGAUUGGCCGUCCCAUCUUCAAUUCAGUAACUUCGUGCCUAGUUCCAUGGGGUUUGACUUCAAAGACACCAGCUGAUGUAUGCUGUCUCACCAGCCUGUAGACUCCUGCUAUCCCGAGCACACAAGUUUGUAGACUGCUGCUAUCCUGAGCACACAAGUUUGGAACUAGACCUCAACGAUACUGCCUGUAUGACUAUACCGAAACAACUCAAAAUCUCCAUGUGCAUGACAUGAAGUUCGUACUGUUUUGUUCAUACAUCUUUAUAGCUUCCCAUCUAAGUUCAAAACCUCUUCUUUUGUUGCAUCUAUUUAAUUGUUUUCAAAUAAAAUUAUAUGUGUUAUAUUGUUAUCAAUGUCACUCAUAUGGCCUUGAGAAAAUAAAUAAAAUACUAGACUGCAAUAAUGAUUGAUUAUUUACUUCUAGACAUCCUUUUAUGUGGCAUUCAAAGACAUUUUAAUUUAUCAUAUAAGAGGGAUCGAGGCCUGGUUAGAAACCAAUUGCGUUUUUGUAGUCGGUCUGUUUGAAAUGGAUAAGGGACCAACCACUGAUAUGCUAAAUAUUAGUGGCUUCGUUAACAGUUCUUUAUUUUUUAAAUAGGUCUGAUACACCAAAAAAUUAUUAGUGGCAUAUGUAUUCAUGUAUAAUUAAGCUAAAUGAAUGAAUUAUUAGGACGACAAAAUGUACCCUAAGCAAAUUAAAUCAACCAAUUUGGUAUCUUCCAGGCUUCCACUGGUUUCCUUUUCCUGGAGAUAUUAGUAGUUGGUCUGCUUAAAUGGUUCUGUAAUGUGUUUCACCAUUUAGGUUUAGAAUGUUGACCCUCUAAAAAUAGUAGAGUAUACUAAUAUAUGCCAGGGAUACAGAUGAGGGCCAUAUAAAGUACUCUGAGAUUGAGGAAGCAUGUGGAUUUAAAAGGUCCAUUUUUACUCUAAUCUUCUUUGAAUGCUAUGGCAAGAUUUUUACAAAAUAUUUCCAAAACUUAUAAGGUAUAUUAAGGUAAAAUUAGCAACUAAUAGAUAUUAUUGCACCGUGGUCAUGUAUAUAGUUUAGCCAAUACAUAUAUUCACAGGCCUGGGUGAGUGGGUAUUGGAAGCUAAAACUAUGACAGGAAGUCAUAUGGGUGAACGUCUGUACAUACCUAGAAUUGUGCUGAAUGCACCAUCUACAAAAUGGCCUUUCACGCUGCUGCGCCGGGGAAGUACCCAAUCUGAUUUUGCUAUCCAAUGAUAAUUUACAAAAUUCAGGGUCCAAAGCUUGAUAAGGUUGGCAUCUAUUUGUCAAAGACUAUGUAUUUGCACGGGUUCACUCUACUGAAAGCACCAAGCUUCCUGCUCUUGCGUUGGGAUUUUUGAUGCCAAAAUGCUUAAGAUAGCUGAGUCUGAAGUGCAAGUUUUUCCAUUAGUUUAUGUAUAAUUACAUGGAGCUGUUUCAUGUGUAACGCUUCAGCUUGAGCAUGUCGAUUUGGCCCAGUAGGUGUGUCAACUAUUGAAUUUAUGAACAUGCUACGGCUGUUUUAUCUAUAUUUUCUACUCCA
Non-coding RNA from Lolium perenne, 2505 nucleotides. Lineage: Eukaryota; Viridiplantae; Streptophyta; Magnoliopsida; Poales; Poaceae. The record is from RefSeq and is a predicted model, not a curated record.